This 515-nucleotide ribosomal RNA is filed under the name uncultured bacterium. RNAcentral's name for it is "partial 16S ribosomal RNA". It matches the Rfam family "Bacterial small subunit ribosomal RNA", at positions 28 to 523 of the family's 1533-position model. The record is from RNAcentral.
GAUGAACGCUGGCGGCGUGCCUAAUACAUGCAAGUCGAGCGAAUGGAUUAAGAGCUUGCUCUUAUGAAGUUAGCGGCGGACGGGUGAGUAACACGUGGGUAACCUGCCCAUAAGACUGGGAUAACUCCGGGAAACCGGGGCUAAUACCGGAUAACAUUUUGAACCGCAUGGUUCGAAAUUGAAAGGCGGCUUCGGCUGUCACUUAUGGAUGGACCCGCGUCGCAUUAGCUAGUUGGUGAGGUAACGGCUCACCAAGGCAACGAUGCGUAGCCGACGUGAGAGGGUGAUCGGCCACCCUGGGACUGAGCCACGGCCCAGACUCCUACGGGAGGCAGCAGUAGGGAAUCUUCCGCAAUGGACGAAAGUCUGACGGAGCAACGCCGCGUGAGUGAUGAAGGCUUUCGGGUCGUAAAACUCUGUUGUUAGGGAAGAACAAGUGCUAGUUGAAUAAGCUGGCACCUUGACGGUACCUAACCAGAAAGCCACGGCUAACUACGUGCCAGCCGCCGCGGUAA